UAUAGGUAUCCAUACGAGACUGAUCUGAUCAGGAGAUCCCGAUCUCAUUGGGGUGCUAGCUUUCUUAUGGAGAUCACUCUUUGGAUUGUCAAAUCUUUUAUCUCUUUUGAUUCUCUUCUCAAGAAAAUCAAAGAGAUCUAUAGGAUGAUCAAAAAAUUAGAUUUAAUCUGAUUUUUUUUUCCUUUCUCUUCUCAAGGGAAAGA
This 203-nucleotide long non-coding RNA is filed under the name Elaeis guineensis (African oil palm). Its description in RNAcentral is "long non-coding RNA (EGUI_LNC014700)". Lineage: Eukaryota; Viridiplantae; Streptophyta; Magnoliopsida; Arecales; Arecaceae. The record is from RNAcentral.